AGUCUUAUAUUCAUAUAAUGAUUAUAGAAUGCAAUUCUAUAGGAGUAGUAAUAAAGUUGCUAUUAAGGCUU
RNAcentral lists this transfer RNA (71 nucleotides) under Parcoblatta fulvescens. RNAcentral's name for it is "tRNA-Cys". Lineage: Eukaryota; Metazoa; Arthropoda; Insecta; Blattodea; Blattellidae. The record is from RNAcentral.